AGCUCCAAUAGCGUAUAUUAAAGUUGUUGCAGUUAAAUAGCUCGUAGUUGAAUUUUGGGCCGGGUCUAAUGGUCAGCCCUUUGGGUUGUACUGUUGGCUUGGUCUUUCUUUCUGGGGAACUUAUGUGCACUUCACUGUGUGUGUAAGGGAUCCAGGACUUUUACUUUGAAAAAAUUAGAGUGUUUAAAGCGGGCUUUUGCUUGAAUACAUUAGCAUGGAAUAAUAGAAUAGGACUUUGGUUCUAUUUUGUUGGUUUCUAGGGCCGAAGUAAUGAUUAAUAGGGAUAGUUGGGGGCAUUAGUAUUUAAUUGUCAGAGGUGAAAUUCUUGGAUUUAUGAAAGACUAACUUCUGCGAAAGCAUUUGCCAAGGAUGUUUUCA
RNAcentral lists this ribosomal RNA (378 nucleotides) under uncultured eukaryote. RNAcentral's name for it is "SSU rRNA". It matches the Rfam family "Eukaryotic small subunit ribosomal RNA", at positions 587 to 972 of the family's 1831-position model. The record is from RNAcentral.